Colletes gigas is the source of this 377-nucleotide long non-coding RNA. RefSeq lists it as uncharacterized. Lineage: Eukaryota; Metazoa; Arthropoda; Insecta; Hymenoptera; Colletidae. The transcript is spliced from 3 exons. The record is from RefSeq and is a predicted model, not a curated record.
GGUUGCUGUAGAAACUAAUGCUUCUCUUCCAUAUUGGUUUCUGAAGCCGAAGGUGGCAGUAUAAGACGGCAGUAAUCGAGAUAUUCUAGAGUAAUCUAGAAAUCUCGUAAACCCAAAAUGAGGGCGAAGUGGCGAAAAAAGAGGAUGCGUAGGCUAAAGCGCAAAAGGAGGAAGAUGCGUGCGAGGUCCAAAUAAAUUUUAUAUUAAUAAUUUCUCUCUUGGUAAAGCAACAUCAAUUCCGGUACAAUAAGAUUUUGGUCGAUCAGAGUAAUUUUGUAUCAACAAUUUGUCACCGACUUCUAUUGUUUUUACAUUUGAGAGUACAUUUUAUUAAUGUAUGUGUCUCGUACGAUUAAAUAAAUUGAUUAUUCAAACUA